AUCCGCCGGUGGAUUUUUAGCCCUGGUGGGUAGCUUCCCGGAAACGAAAGUCUUCCGGUUCCGGGGGAAGUAUGGUUGCAAAGCUGAAACUUAAAGGAAUUGACGGAAGGGCACCACCAGGAGUGGAGCCUGCGGCUUAAUUUGACUCAACACGGGGAAACUCACCCGGCCCGGACACCGUAAGGAUUGACAGAUUGAUAGCUCUUUCAUGAUUCGGUGGUUGGUGGUGCAUGGCCGUUCUUAGUUCGUGGAUCGAUUUGUCUGGUUUAUUCCGAUAACGAGCGAGACUCUAGCCUACUAAAUAGUAACGAGAUUAUCAAUGUCUCAGUUGCUUCUUAGAGGGAUUUUCGGUGUUUAGCCGCACGAGAUUGAGCAAUAACAGGUCUGUGAUGCCCUUAGAUGUCCGGGGCUGCACGCGCGCUACACUGGCGAAAUCAGCGUGCUGUAUCCAUUCUCGAAAGGGAUUGGUAAACCCAUGAAAAUUUGCCGUGCUUGGGAUCGGAAAUUGCAAUUAUUUUCCGUGAACGAGGAAUUCCAAGUAAGUGCGAGUCAUCAACUCGCUCUGAUUACGUC
This 573-nucleotide ribosomal RNA is filed under the name Acrobeloides sp. TKb18. Its description in RNAcentral is "SSU rRNA". It matches the Rfam family "Eukaryotic small subunit ribosomal RNA", at positions 1052 to 1651 of the family's 1831-position model. RNAcentral also lists the same sequence under 1 other name. The record is from RNAcentral. Lineage: Eukaryota; Metazoa; Nematoda; Chromadorea; Rhabditida; Cephalobidae.